GCGAGUAUGGCCCUCACGGGUCUAAUCCACCACAAACACCUUUGUGAACCAGUCAGGGGGACUCGGCCGUGAAAGCCCAGGCGAUUAGCGGAGGGGCCCUCCUUUGCAAACCCGUUUAGAAGUCUUGAAAGUACUUUUGUAUAAUCUAGUA
RNAcentral lists this unclassified non-coding RNA (151 nucleotides) under soil metagenome. RNAcentral describes it as "partial internal transcribed spacer 1". The record is from RNAcentral.